GACGAACGCUGGCGGCGUGCUUAACACAUGCAAGUCGAACGCUGAAGGCCCAGCUUGCUGGGUUGGAUGAGUGGCGAACGGGUGAGUAACACGUGAGUAACCUGCCCCCUUCUUUGGGAUAACGGUCGGAAACGGCUGCUAAUACCGGGUAUUCACUGUCCUUCGCAUGGGGGGUGGUGGAAAGGUUUUUUCUGGUGGGGGAUGGGCUCGCGGCCUAUCAGCUUGUUGGUGGGGUGAUGGCUUACCAAGGCUUUGACGGGUAACCGGCCUGAGAGGGUGACCGGUCACAUUGGGACUGAGAUACGGCCCAGACUCCUACGGGAGGCAGCAGUGGGGAAUAUUGCACAAUGGGCGAAAGCCUGAUGCAGCGACGCCGCGUGAGGGAUGACGGCCUUCGGGUUGUAAACCUCUUUCGCUCAUGGUCAAGCCGCAACAGUGGUUGUGGUGAGGGUAGUGGGUAAAGAAGCGCCGGCUAACUACGUGCCAGCAGCCGCGGUAAUACGUAGGGCGCGAGCGUUGUCCGGAAUUAUUGGGCGUAAAGGGCUUGUAGGCGGUUGGUCGCGUCUGCCGUGAAAUCCUCUGGCUUAACUGGGGGCGUGCGGUGGGUACGGGCUGACUUGAGUGCGGUAGGGGAGACUGGAACUCCUGGUGUAGCGGUGGAAUGCGCAGAUAUCAGGAAGAACACCGGUGGCGAAGGCGGGUCUCUGGGCCGUUACUGACGCUGAGGAGCGAAAGCGUGGGGAGCGAACAGG
This 752-nucleotide ribosomal RNA is filed under the name uncultured Actinomyces sp. RNAcentral describes it as "bacterial SSU rRNA". It matches the Rfam family "Bacterial small subunit ribosomal RNA", at positions 28 to 776 of the family's 1533-position model. Lineage: Bacteria; Bacillati; Actinomycetota; Actinomycetes; Actinomycetales; Actinomycetaceae. The record is from RNAcentral.